GAAAGUGGCCAAAGCCUGUCAUGAGUAGACAGUAUCUGAUGAGGGGAAGCACUUAGUUAUUCUUUUCUGAAGUCCUAAAGGACCACAGAUAGAGUGGAUUUCAGGACUUAUUUAAAUGAUAGGAGACACAUGGUUUGGCGCAGUGAGAGGACGGGUUUUCCAGGCAUGCUGUGCUGUUUUGGAGCUGGCUCAGGGGCUGGUCGAAGCCAGGCUCAGAAGGGCCUGAGAAACUUUUGAGGCUAAAGAAAACGAAUUCUAAACCUC
This 264-nucleotide long non-coding RNA is filed under the name Equus caballus (horse). RNAcentral describes it as "lncRNA (ENSECAG00000052957.1)". The record is from RNAcentral. Lineage: Eukaryota; Metazoa; Chordata; Mammalia; Perissodactyla; Equidae.